This 213-nucleotide long non-coding RNA is filed under the name Erythranthe guttata (spotted monkey flower). RNAcentral describes it as "long non-coding RNA (EGUT_LNC000543)". The record is from RNAcentral. Lineage: Eukaryota; Viridiplantae; Streptophyta; Magnoliopsida; Lamiales; Phrymaceae.
CAUCAAGAACUCCAAGAUCUUCAAGUCAAAACCAGUCAAAGUUCAGCGUUCGAUCCGAGAUUCAAGUCGCAAGACCCUCGGAAGACGUUAUUCAAAUCCAAAUCAAAUCCGGAGAAGAUCAAGUCAACGACCCGACUCCGAAAUUCAAAGUCAAACGCAUAUUAUUCUUGAGAGAAGAAUCAGAGGAUUAAAUUAGAGUUUGUAACCCGCAAU